UACGGAGGAUGCGAGCGUUAUCCGGAUUUAUUGGGUUUAAAGGGUGCGUAGGCGGCCGAUCAAGUCAGCGGUGAAAUGCAAGGGCCUAACCCUUGACGUGCCGUUGAAACUGAAUGGCUAGAAUGCGGAUGCUGUGGGAGGAAUGUGUAGUGUAGCGGUGAAAUGCAUAGAUAUUACACAGAACACCGAUUGCGAAGGCAUCUCACAAAUCCGCUAUUGACGCUGAGGCACGAAAGUGCGGGGAUCAAAC
RNAcentral lists this ribosomal RNA (250 nucleotides) under uncultured prokaryote. RNAcentral describes it as "partial 16S ribosomal RNA". It matches the Rfam family "Bacterial small subunit ribosomal RNA", at positions 524 to 773 of the family's 1533-position model. The record is from RNAcentral.